AUUGAACGCUGGCGGCAUGCCUUACACAUGCAAGUCGAACGGUAACAGGUCUUCGGAUGCUGACGAGUGGCGAACGGGUGAGUAAUACAUCGGAACGUGCCCGAUCGUGGGGGAUAACGAAGCGAAAGCUUUGCUAAUACCGCAUACGAUCUACGGAUGAAAGCAGGGGACCGCAAGGCCUUGCGCGAACGGAGCGGCCGAUGGCAGAUUAGGUAGUUGGUGGGAUAAAAGCUUACCAAGCCGACGAUCUGUAGCGGGUCUGAGAGGACGACCAGCCACACUGGGACUGAGACACGGCCCAGACUCCUACGGGAGGCAGCAGUGGGGAAUUUUGGACAAUGGGCGAAAGCCUGAUCCAGCCAUGCCGCGUGCAGGAUGAAGGCCUUCGGGUUGUAAACUGCUUUUGUACGGAACGAAAAGACUCUGGUUAAUACCUGGGGUCCAUGACGGUACCGUAAGAAUAAGCACCGGCUAACUACGUG
RNAcentral lists this ribosomal RNA (482 nucleotides) under uncultured bacterium. Its description in RNAcentral is "partial 16S ribosomal RNA". It matches the Rfam family "Bacterial small subunit ribosomal RNA", at positions 30 to 507 of the family's 1533-position model. The record is from RNAcentral.